UCGAGCGAACGGACGAGAAGCUUGCUUCUCUGAUGUUAGCGGCGGACGGGUGAGUAACACGUGGAUAACCUACCUAUAAGACUGGGAUAACUUCGGGAAACCGGAGCUAAUACCGGAUAAUAUUUUGAACCGCAUGGUUCAAAAGUGAAAGACGGUCUUGCUGUCACUUAUAGAUGGAUCCGCGCUGCAUUAGCUAGUUGGUAAGGUAACGGCUUACCAAGGCAACGAUGCAUAGCCGACCUGAGAGGGUGAUCGGCCACACUGGAACUGAGACACGGUCCAGACUCCUACGGGAGGCAGCAGUAGGGAAUCUUCCGCAAUGGGCGAAAGCCUGACGGAGCAACGCCGCGUGAGUGAUGAAGGUCUUCGGAUCGUAAAACUCUGUUAUUAGGGAAGAACAUAUGUGUAAGUAACUGUGCACAUCUUGACGGUACCUAAUCAGAAAGCCACGGCUAACUACGUGCCAGCAGCCGCGGUAAUACGUAGGUGGCAAGCGUUAUCCGGAAUUAUUGGGCGUAAAGCGCGCGUAGGCGGUUUUUUAAGUCUGAUGUGAAAGCCCACGGCUCAACCGUGGAGGGUCAUUGGAAACUGGAAAACUUGAGUGCAGAAGAGGAAAGUGGAAUUCCAUGUGUAGCGGUGAAAUGCGCAGAGAUAUGGAGGAACACCAGUGGCGAAGGCGACUUUCUGGUCUGUAACUGACGGCUGAUGUGCGAAAGCGUGGGGAUCAAACAGGAUUAGAUACCCUGGUAGUCCACGCCGUAAACGAUGAGUGCUAAGUGUUAGGGGGUUUCCGCCCCUUAGUGCUGCUAGCUAACGCUAUUAAGCUACU
This 829-nucleotide ribosomal RNA is filed under the name uncultured Staphylococcus sp. RNAcentral describes it as "bacterial SSU rRNA". It matches the Rfam family "Bacterial small subunit ribosomal RNA", at positions 62 to 869 of the family's 1533-position model. The record is from RNAcentral. Lineage: Bacteria; Bacillati; Bacillota; Bacilli; Caryophanales; Staphylococcaceae.